This 240-nucleotide unclassified non-coding RNA is filed under the name soil metagenome. Its description in RNAcentral is "partial contains 5.8S ribosomal RNA, internal transcribed spacer 2, and large subunit ribosomal RNA". The record is from RNAcentral.
AACCUAGCACACCUGCGGUGUGUACCUGCGGAAGGAUCAUUACACAAUACAAUAUGAAGGCUGUCCGCAGCUGGAGUAUUUUAUUACCCUUGUCUUUUGCGCACUUGUUGUUUCCUGGGCGGGUUCGCUCGCCACCAGGACCACCAAAUAAACCUUUUUUAUGCAGUUGCAAUCAGCGUCAGUACAAACAAUGUAAAUCAUUUACAACUUUUAACAAUGGAUCUCAGAUCGGAAGAGCAC